Non-coding RNA from Myotis brandtii (Brandt's bat), 87 nucleotides. NCBI's taxonomy places the organism in Eukaryota, Metazoa, Chordata, Mammalia, Chiroptera, Vespertilionidae. The record is from Rfam.
AGAGGCCCUCCAUGGCCGGGGUGGAACACUUGCCUCGUCGCCACGGUGACAAAGCAAGCAUUCCACCAGGCCGCUCACACUGUCCAC